ACUUAAGCAUAUCAAUAAGCGGAGGAAAAGAAACCAACAGGGAUUGCCCCAGUAACGGCGAGUGAAGCGGCAACAGCUCAAAUUUGAAAUCUGGCCCUCGGGUCCGAGUUGUAAUUUGCAGAGGAUGCUUCGGGCGAGGUGCCUUCCGAGUUCCCUGGAACGGGACGCCAUAGAGGGUGAGAGCCCCGUCUGGUCGGACACCGAGCCCGUGUGAAGCUCCUUCGAAGAGUCGAGUAGUUUGGGAAUGCUGCUCAAAAUGGGAGGUAUAUGUCUUCUAAAGCUAAAUAUUGGCCAGAGACCGAUAGCGCACAAGUAGAGUGAUCGAAAGAUGAAAAGCACUUUGAAAAGAGGGUUAAAAAGUACGUGAAAUUGUUGAAAGGGAAGCGCCCAUGACCAGACUUGGGCCCGGUGAAUCAUCCGGCGUUCUCGCCGGUGCACUUUGCCGGGCACAGGCCAGCAUCAGUCUGGCGCGGGGGAUAAAGGCUUCGGGAAUGUGGCUCCCUCGGGAGUGUUAUAGCCCGUUGCGCAAUACCCUGCGCCGGACUGAGGUACGCGCAUCGCAAGGAUGCUGGCGUAAUGGUCAUCAGCGACCCGUCUUGAAACACGGACCAAGGAGUCGUCUUCGUAUGCGAGUGUUCGGGUGUCAAACCCCUACGCGGAAUGAAAGUGAACGCAGGUGAGAGCUUCGGCGCAUCAUCGACCGAUCCUGAUGUUCUCGGAUGGAUUUGAGUAAGAGCAUACGGGGCCGGACCCGAAAGAAGGUGAACUAUGCCUGUAUAGGGUGAAGCCAGAGGAAACUCUGGUGGAAGCUCGCAGCGGUUCUGACGUGCGAAUCGAUCGUCAAAUAUGGGCAUGGGGGCGAAAGACUAAUCGAACCUUCUAGUAGCUGGUUUCCGCCGAAGUCCCCCUCCAGGGAUA
RNAcentral lists this ribosomal RNA (918 nucleotides) under Cordyceps cicadae. RNAcentral's name for it is "partial large subunit ribosomal RNA". It matches the Rfam family "Eukaryotic large subunit ribosomal RNA", at positions 32 to 982 of the family's 3401-position model. The record is from RNAcentral. Lineage: Eukaryota; Fungi; Ascomycota; Sordariomycetes; Hypocreales; Cordycipitaceae.